This is a long non-coding RNA of Rhipicephalus microplus (southern cattle tick), 787 nucleotides long. The record is from RefSeq and is a predicted model, not a curated record. NCBI's taxonomy places the organism in Eukaryota, Metazoa, Arthropoda, Arachnida, Ixodida, Ixodidae.
AAAUCCUUUUAACAGGAAGUACUGGUGACCUUGAGCCACAACUAGCAGUGCUAACGCUUUGUCGCCGUGGCAUAUCUGCCCACCAAAGUGAGACCCCGCUGCCUGAGAGCUAUCUUCUUUUGCGAGCGCUGCUAAGUACGCCAGGAUUAACGGAGAUAUGGACCAACUGAUCAGCUGUUGCGAAUGCAAGUGCUGCAGUGGUGCUCGGUAGUGGCUUCGUACUCAAGUGCGAAGGCUCUUUGUAUCUCCGGUGGCCGAAGAAGAGGUGUCGGUGCAGCAGCCUGAGCAACAGCCGUAACAGCAGCGAGGACCGGAGGAGCCUGUUGACGCUGCAGGGGCUUCGCGGUCUUCCGUUCCCGGAACUGCCGUCCAGAGUCCUUUUGAUUCCGGAGGUGUUGGCCUUACGCCAUCCGUGGGUGACGCAGACACGGAGGGUUUCCUUUCUGCCGUCAUGUCUCCAACGAGCAGCAGCAUGACCCAAGUCACUCCGAUGACAGGGUCUUCCGACAGCCGUGAAGAAAAAGCCACGCAGUACACCGGUAGCUCUAGCGGGCUGAGUUCUAGCACCUUUGGGAGUGAAGCCACCUUGCGAGUGCCUGCCACCAACGUGAAAACAGUGCCUUGAUCCGCCACGCUGUUCCAAGAUAAUUCCAAGGGCGGACUGUAGCGGCACCGGUGUUUCUUCUUCCGGCAUGCUCGUCAACUCCGAAUAUUACGCGUUGCACCACGUCUUAUCCAAUGUGGUUUUUAAUUUUUUUAAUCUCAAUAAAACCUUCCGCUUCUGCUA